UGGCCUCUCCUCUUCUAAACGGUGUCCAGGGUGAUUAGAGUUGUGUGGUGGCUCAUUCUCUGGAGGUGGUUUCUCGCCUUUUGGUUUCGGUUUGGGGAAUGGCCUCUCCUCUUCUAAACGGUGUCCGGGGUGAUCAGGGUUGUGUGGUGGCUCAUUCUCUGGAGGUGGUUUCUCGCCUUUUGGUUUUGGUUCAGGAAAUGGCCUCUCCUCUUCUAAACGGUGUCCGGGGUGAUCAGGGUCGUGUGGUGGCUCAUUCUCUAGAGGUGGUUUCUCAUCCUUUGGUUUUGGCUCGGGGAAUGGCCUCUCCUCUUCUAAACGGUGUCCGGGUGAUCAGGGUCGUGUGGUGGCUCAUUCUCUGGAGGUGGUUUCUCAUCCUUUGGUUUUGGCUCGGGGAAUGGCCUCUCCUCUUCUAAACGGUGUCCAG
This is a long non-coding RNA of Neltuma alba, 424 nucleotides long. RefSeq lists it as uncharacterized. The transcript has 2 exons. NCBI's taxonomy places the organism in Eukaryota, Viridiplantae, Streptophyta, Magnoliopsida, Fabales, Fabaceae. The record is from RefSeq and is a predicted model, not a curated record.